Micropterus dolomieu (smallmouth bass) is the source of this 406-nucleotide long non-coding RNA. RefSeq lists it as uncharacterized. The record is from RefSeq and is a predicted model, not a curated record. NCBI's taxonomy places the organism in Eukaryota, Metazoa, Chordata, Actinopteri, Centrarchiformes, Centrarchidae. The transcript is spliced from 3 exons.
GGACCAUCGACUGUAUGAUUGAUAACAGCUGAUACUCGCACAUUAGUUUCUAUCAUGGCCAAGCAAACCACUUGCUCUGUUAUGAAGGUGCACAUGAUCUGCCUUCUCCAAAAGAUGCCAGUAGGUGUGGUUAAAAUCAUCAGUUAUUGGAGCCACCUGGGCCCGGUGUUCUCCAGUAUAAAAGCAUGUCUCAUGUUCUGCACUGUGGGCUAGAGAGGAGGGAAACCCUGUUCCCUAUGCUCCAUGCUCCUCCUUAUUUUUGUUUCUUUCACCAUACAACACUCCACUCACUAUUUCUUCAAGCAUGCAUACCUGCUGACAUGACUGACCUAUUGAUUAUCACACUUCAUAGGAUUAUUUGAAUAUCAAGUUGUUUCUGUUUGUUUAGAAAUAAAAGUAAUGGUAC